CUUGGGAGCUCCUUUUCCUGGAGCUGGAGCCUGCCUGGAUGCCUUUGAAGAGGCUUUUUUUGCAUUUGUUGGAAAACCAGAGGACAACAAGCUCUGAAUCCACUGUCCUGCCUGGAGCAGAGCCUGCAGGGAGGGGUGCCCUGGGCUGCUGGAGAGUUUAUCCCUUAGGCUGGAUGAAAUGAACUCAUGAGAGCCUCUCAGAAGGCUGUUUGGAAGAGAGAAAUAUUUUUAAUGGAGUUCCAAACAGGAAACCACCAGUGUCCAGGGAAGAAGCAAAUACUACAGGAUAGAAAACAAAAUUCUUCUGGUCAAUUGAUAAAGUGCAGAAACAAACACAGGUAUUUGGUGUCUUACACUGCUUUGUGUCAUAAUUGAGUUGAACAGAAUUGCAUGACACAAACAAGUCAGUGCUUGUCAGCAGGUUAAGAACAAAUGCACUGAACUGAGAACUGCUGCAGGGCUGGCUAAAGCCAAGCUGG
Long non-coding RNA from Serinus canaria (Common canary), 479 nucleotides. RefSeq lists it as uncharacterized. The record is from RefSeq and is a predicted model, not a curated record. The transcript is spliced from 3 exons. NCBI's taxonomy places the organism in Eukaryota, Metazoa, Chordata, Aves, Passeriformes, Fringillidae.